CAGGUGGUCAGGUAGAGAAUACCAAGGCGCUUGAGAGAACUCGGGUGAAGGAACUAGGCAAAAUGGUGCCGUAACUUCGGGAGAAGGCACGCUGACACGUAGGUGAAGUGGUUUACCCAUGGAGCUGAAGUCAGUCGAAGAUACCAGCUGGCUGCAACUGUUUAUUAAAAACACAGCACUGUGCAAACACGAAAGUGGACGUAUACGGUGUGACGCCUGCCCGGUGCCGGAAGGUUAAUUGAUGGGGUCAGCGCAAGCGAAGCUCCUGAUCGAAGCCCCGGUAAACGGCGGCCGUAACUAUAACGGUCCUAAGGUAGCGAAAUUCCUUGUCGGGUAAGUUCCGACCUGCACGAAUGGCGUAAUGAUGGCCAGGCUGUCUCCACCCGGGACUCAGUGAAAUUGAACUCGCUGUGAAGAUGCAGUGUACCCGCGGCAAGACGGAAAGACCCCGUGAACCUUUACUAUAGCUUGACACUGAACACUGGUCCUUGAUGUGCAGGAUAGGUGGGAGGCUUUGAAGUGUGGACGCCAGUCUGCAUGGAGCCAUCCUUGAAAUACCACCCUUUAAUGGCUGGUGUUCUAACGUGGGCCCGUGAACCGGGUUGCGGACAGUGUCUGGUGGGUAGUUUGACUGGGGCGGUCUCCUCCUAAAGAGUAACGGAGGAGCACGAAGGUUGGCUAAUCCUGGUCGGACAUCAGGAGGUUAGUGCAAUGGCAUAAGCCAGCUUGACUGCGAGCGUGACGGCGCGAGCAGGUGCGAAAGCAGGUCAUAGUGAUCCGGUGGUUCUGAAUGGAAGGGCCAUCGCUCAACGGAUAAAAGGUACUCCGGGGAUAACAGGCUGAUACCGCCCAAGAGUUCAUAUCGACGGCGGUGUUUGGCACCUCGAUGUCGGCUCAUCACAUCCUGGGGCUGAAGUAGGUCCCAAGGGUAUGGCUGUUCGCCAUUUAAAGUGGUACGCGAGCUGGGUUUAGAACGUCGUGAGACAGUUCGGUCCCUAUCUGCCGUGGGCGCUGGAAGAUUGAGGGGGGCUGCUCCUAGUACGAGAGGACCGGAGUGGACGCAUCACUGGUGUUCGGGUUGUCAUGCCAAUGGCACUGCCCGGUAGCUACAUGCGGAAGAGAUAAGUGCUGAAAGCAUCUAAGCACGAAACUUGCCCCGAGAUGAAUCUUCCCUGAGCCUUUAAGGCUCCUGAAGGAACGUUGAAGACGACGACGUUGAUAGGCCGGGUGUGUAAGCGCAGCGAUGCGUUGAGCUAACCGGUACUAAUGAACCGUGAGGCUUAACCUU
This 1288-nucleotide ribosomal RNA is filed under the name Salmonella enterica. Its description in RNAcentral is "partial 23S ribosomal RNA". It matches the Rfam family "Bacterial large subunit ribosomal RNA", at positions 1660 to 2925 of the family's 2925-position model. RNAcentral also lists the same sequence under 1 other name. Lineage: Bacteria; Pseudomonadati; Pseudomonadota; Gammaproteobacteria; Enterobacterales; Enterobacteriaceae. The record is from RNAcentral.